AUGGGAAGUAAAGCACCGUCGUGCCCA
RNAcentral lists this small RNA (27 nucleotides) under Bombyx mori (domestic silkworm). Its description in RNAcentral is "ovarian small RNA-12632". Lineage: Eukaryota; Metazoa; Arthropoda; Insecta; Lepidoptera; Bombycidae. The record is from RNAcentral.